This 376-nucleotide ribosomal RNA is filed under the name uncultured bacterium. RNAcentral's name for it is "bacterial SSU rRNA". It matches the Rfam family "Bacterial small subunit ribosomal RNA", at positions 485 to 859 of the family's 1533-position model. The record is from RNAcentral.
AAUAAGUCUUGGCUAACUACGUGCCAGCAGCCGCGGUAAUACGUAGAAGGCGAACGUUAUCCGGAUUUACUGGGCGUAAAGAGGGUGUAGACGGUUCUUUAAGUCAGUUGUGAAAUCUCUCGACUCAAUUGGGAGACUGCAAUUGAUACUGGGGAGCUUGAGGGCAUCAGAAGAAAGCGGAAUUCACGGUGUAGCGGUGAAAUGCGUAGAUAUCGUGAGGAACACCAGUGGCGAAGGCGGCUUUCUAGGAUGCUCCUGACGUUGAGGCCCGAAAGUGUGGGGAGCGGAACGGAUUAGAUACCCGUGUAGUCCACACCCUAAACGUUGAAUACUAGGUAUAGGGGGUAUCGACCCUCUCUGUGCCGAAGCUAACGCU